CAGACAUCUUAUAUCUGUGUUGCCCACAGCGCAGUAACUUUGGCCUGGGUGUAAGAUCAUCCUACCCUUGCUAGUGCCCAGCAUGCCAGUCCUCUGGCAGAGUGUGCUGACCAGCCAGACUGUGGAGGCAGGGCAGUGCCAGCCCCGAGGGAGAGUGCUCAGCACCUGACAAGCCCCUGUCAUGGUGGCCCCAGCGAGACUGGAGUGGCGGGCUGCAGGGACUGCAGUGACCAUGGAGGCAGGGCGGUGACCAUGGCCACAGGGCACAGCCCCGCGACUGUGGCGACUGAGCUGUCUGCACCUCUGCGGUGAGUGCCACUGCAGAGAGAGCCCUUUCAACUCAAGGCAGAACCAGCUAAAACACAUCAGAACUAAAUCGUUUACCCCAACACGAGAAGACAAUGCCUGUAGCUGCAGAUCCACUAGAGACAACACCAUUUCCUGGGACCUGCAGACAACAAAGCAGUCUUCCUCCAGGAUCCUCACCUGACUGAAGACUCCCAAGGCACGUGGGACACUACCCCACAGAGGACAGACUACAGACUUGGGACCUUCCAGCUACAGAUGAACUUUCUUGCUAAAGGCUGCUGAACUUGGAGGAAGUUAUGUGAUAGUAAGGAAAACAUAAUGUCUAUCUAGAUUGAUUAAUUGCUGUUCAAAACUGAUGUUAUUACCCUCAAACUGUACUACCCAUGGAACAAUUGUUUCUAUAAUCCUAUGGGGAACUAGGAAACAUGGCUGCUGGCUCCAACCACCACUGGGAGGGAUGUGUUUUCUGUGUGGCACUAUCCUGCUCCUUUGUGUGGAUCGUUUACUUAUUUAUUUGAUUGCCUACCGUCCUCACCCUCUGGCUUAAUUGUGUUAGUCCUCUGUCCUAUAUGUUUUCUUUUGAUAUUUCCACCCUACCCAAAAUUUU
Long non-coding RNA from Mastomys coucha (southern multimammate mouse), 916 nucleotides. RefSeq lists it as uncharacterized. The record is from RefSeq and is a predicted model, not a curated record. The transcript is spliced from 2 exons. NCBI's taxonomy places the organism in Eukaryota, Metazoa, Chordata, Mammalia, Rodentia, Muridae.